AGAGUUGAUCAUGGCUCAGGAUGAACGCUGGCGGCGUGCCUAACACAUGCAAGUCGAACGGGUUAAGGGAAAUUUCGGAUGGACCUUAACUUAGUGGCGGACGGGUGAGUAACGCGUGGAUAACCUGCCUCACACUGGGGGAUAGCAGCUGGAAACGGCUGGUAAUACCGCAUAAGACCACAGCACCGCAUGGUGCAGGGGUAAAAGAUUUAUCGGUGUGAGAUGGAUCCGCGUCUGAUUAGCCAGUUGGCGGGGUAACGGCCCACCAAAGCGACGAUCAGUAGCCGGCCUGAGAGGGUGAACGGCCACAUUGGGACUGAGACACGGCCCAAACUCCUACGGGAGGCAGCAGUGGGGAAUAUUGCACAAUGGGCGCAAGCCUGAUGCAGCAACGCCGCGUGAGUGAAGAAGUAUUUCGGUAUGUAAAGCUCUAUCGGCAGGGAAGAAAGGCCCUUAACAGGGAGAUGACGGUACCUGACUAAGAAGCCCCGGCUAACUACGUGCCAGCAGCAGC
Molecule: ribosomal RNA, 514 nt
Filed under: uncultured bacterium
Lineage: Bacteria
Description: bacterial SSU rRNA
Rfam family: Bacterial small subunit ribosomal RNA
Source: RNAcentral